CACACACUCUGUGAUUGUACGUCGAAAGGUAGAGUCUCCAGAUCCACUGAAGAAGCGUCGAAUUCAUUGCUGUGACUUCAAUGGCUGCAAUAAAGUCUAUACCAAAAGCUCCCACCUGAAAGCUCACAGACGCACACAUACAGGAGAGAAGCCUUACAAGUGCAUGUGGGAAGGCUGUACGUGGAAGUUCGCCCGCUCUGAUGAGCUGACCCGUCACUUUCGGAAGCACACGGGUGUAAAGCCAUUCCAGUGCCCUGACUGUGAUCGCACCUUCUCCCGCUCCGAUCACCUCGCCCUGCACAAGAAGCGUCACCUACUGAUGUGAACUCAAUACUGCAACACGUGAACGGAGCAGAAAUUGCACCUUCGAUUAAGCCGUUGCUCAACAGGAGCUUCAUCUUCAGUGAUGUUAAGGGCCGUUUUGUGUUUCCCGUCCCUUUUCUGUUCAGGAAACGAUGCAUGUAAGAAGAAAGAGUGGAGUUGAUGGAUAAUAUGAUGGCUAGCUCGUACUUCAUGAAAAUAAUUAUUGUCCAAGUGGAUUUUGUCACCGUUACUAUGGAUUCGGACAAACGGUGAUAGUGCUGUGGAUAUGACCCUUAUAUAAGCAAAAUUGAAUUCCAAUAGGCACCUUUAAGUCUUUUCUUGAUACCAAGCACUCUCUCUCUCCUUUGUCUCUCUAUUCACGUCUCUCUACCAUUCUGUUUUACCCCUCUGCUGGUCAGAGGGCCCAUUGUUCCAGUUACAGCACUACACAAACAAGCAAAAUACAUUUACAGUAUAUCAGUAGCUAGUCACACGCAUGUGCAAACACACACACACCUCGGACAUUUUCACACUUUAAAUGUUGUUUUAAGCUGCAACUCGGGUCAAACCUGCACAAUGUGAUUUUUUUUCUCUUUUUUAUAUUAUUCAAAAAAACGAAUGUGUAUACGCAGGUCCUGUAUAUGUAUUCAGCAUGUGUGUUUCAGUGUAAGGACCAAGGCUGAGUGUUUUACACCUUCAUAUGUUUCCUGAGAUCGUUUGAUUGGGUCGGUCAGUCGUUGAGCCCCGUUCACACCAAGAAUGAUAACCACACCAACCCACGAUAAUAUUCUGUUUAUUAUAAGCACGCGCUGCGGUUUUGUCAUCUGCCACUUUAAAUGCUCAAGCGCAUUAAAGCAGAAAGGAUUCUGUUUGGCUGUCAAUGUUUUUAUCAUUCAUAAGCUGGAAGAAAUCAUUACAGUUGUCCACAAAUUAUAGUAUAUUCUUUUACAUUUAGAACUAUUUUUGAAACUAUAUUGUUAUAGUUAUCGUCCUUGGUGUGAAUGGGCAUUUAUAGUUUGACUCUAAAGAGUUAAGUUUUGACAAAAAGUUUUUGGUUCCAAAAGUAGCUUCCGAGCACCUGACCUAUUAUUUACUUAGUGAAACAGUGGCGUGUUUUAUUAAUUGUAAUCAUGAAUUAAUACUGUAGUUUAUUACUGUAAGUACUAUGUACUGUGUAAGUUCUUGCAACUAUGCACAUGCACAAUUUACGAUUUAGUAAUGAAAAUAUAGUCAUGAUUUUACCCUACAUACAUGUUAAAGACACAAGUAGAACGUAAGUGUGAGAGUUCAAGAUGUCUUAAAUGCUAAUAGGCAGGUCUGAAAAUUGAACGCUUGGUCGUCCAACACAUACAUGUUAGUUGCAAGGACUUAUAGCAAGCUUUAUUUUGCUUAAUCUCACCAUUAUUCAUAUUUGAAUAAUUUCUGUAAUCAUGAAUAUUCGUAUAAUCCUAAAUAUUUUGUUGUGUCUUUUUAUCAAAGCCAGUGUCCGAGGCUCAAAAGGGUAAACUAUUAUUUCACUGAGGGAUGUUUAGGUGGAGAAAUGUGAUAAAUGUGAACCAUUCAAUAAGGGGCAUUAUUUUAUUAGAGUGUGUUCAUCUAGGUUAUGGGUAACAUUGUCUUAUUGCUAACACUUUGUUUGUGAGAUAUUUGUUAAACGCGUGAGAUAGUCAUGGAUAUAUUGUUUUUUUGUAUUGCAAAUCAUUUUUACAUGAACAGAUGUUUGUUAAGGGCAAUGUGUAAACGGAAACAGUGCACUUUAAAAAUUAAUUU
This is a long non-coding RNA of Sinocyclocheilus grahami, 2073 nucleotides long. RefSeq lists it as uncharacterized. The transcript is spliced from 2 exons. The record is from RefSeq and is a predicted model, not a curated record. NCBI's taxonomy places the organism in Eukaryota, Metazoa, Chordata, Actinopteri, Cypriniformes, Cyprinidae.